Molecule: ribosomal RNA, 430 nt
Filed under: uncultured alveolate
Lineage: Eukaryota
Description: SSU rRNA
Rfam family: Eukaryotic small subunit ribosomal RNA
Source: RNAcentral
UUGCGGUUAAAAGCUCGCUAGUUGGAUUUCUGUUGAGGUCGGGCGGUGUACACCUCGUGUAUUAUUUGCUUCGGUCUCGGCAUCCUCUUGGGGAACGUACGGACCUUCAUUGGACUGUGCGAGAUUCAAGACUUUUACUUUGAGGAAAUUAGAGUGUUCACGGCAGGCAAGUGCUUUGAAUACAUUAGCAUGGAAUAAUAAUAUAGGACCUUCGUUCUAUUUUGUUGGUUUCUAGAACUUAGGUAAUGAUUAAUAGGGACAAUUGGGGGCAUUCGUAUUAACGCGUCAGAGGUGGAAUUCUUGGAUUGCGUUACGACGAACUACUGCGAAAGCAUUUGCCAAAGAUGUUUUCAUUGAUCAAGAACGAAGUAUGGGGAUCGAAGACGCUUAGAUACCGUCCGUAGUCUAUACCCAUAAACUAUGCCCACUA